UUACUUGUUCAAGUGCCAGUGAAACGAACGAUAGAAAAAAAGAAGCAUUCAACUGUUUACCGUUUAACUCCUGUCCCAAUCUAACCUAGUGGGUUCAAAAAGAAGGGACCGCGCUUAAAACAUGAGUAAAUUAAAAGGAUCAACCCUUUUUGAAUUUAUAGUCGAAGUGGUAACCAGCUAGAAGUCGUAACCUGCUCGUAUGAAAGGAUUUCUCGACGUGAUAUAGUUAAUUUUAUUCAACAACGCCAAGAAAUAGAGCUCGCUUAAGAAACAGAAAAGAAUAAAAAAGAUGAAAAAAUAUUCUGUUGAACAAUA
Hydra vulgaris (swiftwater hydra) is the source of this 315-nucleotide non-coding RNA. Lineage: Eukaryota; Metazoa; Cnidaria; Hydrozoa; Anthoathecata; Hydridae. The record is from RefSeq and is a predicted model, not a curated record.